AAAAAAAGUUAAAUGUCUCAGGUAUCUUGAAGCCAUAAAAGGUUCAUAGAGUGUCUUGGCUGCCCAAAGAAUUGCUUCUUUUAUUUUUUUAUUUUUCUAACUUGUAGGGAAAGGUCUAGUAUUUAAGAUACCUGGAUUUUCCAGAACAUAAGAAUCCCUCAGCCAACAUUUAUUUUGUUUCUUGCAAUUGAGAGCCAAAGACAAGCAGUUCUUGUGUGGUUCAAAGGUAACAAUGCCCUAGCGACACGAGCUGUGUUUAUCUUGGCCCUGGUGGAGCCUGGGCACCAUGUUAGACACUGUGGUCUUGGCAGUAAAACCCUUACUUUCCCAGCCACAGACCUACUAGCUGAGAAAGCCAAUUCUAAGCACCGGGCUAGCUCUCCCAAGGUCUCAGAAUGUGGUCACUAGACUUUAGUCAAAGGUUUCAGGACCCGUGUUCUGCCUGUCCUACAGUCUUCAGAGAAUUGAGCUUUCAUUCUGAAAUGAGGAAAUCUUCAAUGCUGUUUAUUUUGGUUAUUAUGUGAUAAACAUGCAAGUUUGCCAUUGCAGAAAUAAAUGCUAAUGAAGUUAAAGGGUAAAUCUAGAGAAGAGGUGGAAUGGAGAUCAAAGCCUGCAUGAGCAGCAAGAGCUGAUGUCUGCUGCUACCAGUAGAAUCUACAGAGCAGAAGAGAACAUCAAAUCCCCUGGAACAGGAGUUACAGACAGUUGUCAGCUGCUAUGUAGGUGCUGGGAAUUGAACCCUGGUCUUCUGGAAGAGCAGCCAGUGCUCUUAACCACUGAGCCAUCCCUCCUUCCCCUCAGUCUUAUUGUAACUCAACUUGUGACUUUAUCCUAUAUGAAAGUGAUAUUAUGGAGUUAGAAUUUUCUAUUUUUUGUUUCAUUUUCUACAAAUGAAAUGCUGGGGAUUAAACCCAAGGCCUCAUGCAUGCUAAGCACAUACUCCACCACCAAGCUGUAUAGCCUCUGUGCUCCAGGCUAGUGAGGUGUGAUAUGAUAUACUCUCACAUCUUUGGACAGCUUGUUAUGUAUUAUGUGGUUCUGAACACUCAUGCACACCCUACUGUGUUGUCAAUAGUGUGAUGGUUAAUCGUACUUGUCACCUUGAUUCCAUCUGAAAUCAAUUGAAAGACAAGCCUCUGGGUGCACCUGUUAGGUAUUAUCUAGAUUAGAUUAACCUCUGGGUGCUGUGGGAUGGUCUGUAUGGCAAAUGUGUUGCUCUGAUUGGUUAGUAAAUAAAACACUGAUUGGCCAGUAGUCAGGCAGGAGGAAGUAUAGGCGGGACAAGGAGGAGAAGAAUUCUGGGGAGUGGAAGGCUGAGUGGGAGACACUGCCAGCCACCGCCAUGACAAGCAGCAUGUGAAGAUGCCAGUAAGCCACGAGCCACGUGGCAAGGUAUAGAUUUAUGGAAAUGGAUUAAUUUAAGAUAUAAGAACUAGAUAACAAGAAGCCUGCCACGGCCAUACGGUUUGUAAGCAAUAUAAUCUCUGUGUUUACUUGGUUGGGUCUGAGAGGCUGUGGGACUGGCAGGUGGUAGAGAUUUGUCCUGACUGUGGACCAGGCAGGAAAACUCAAGCUACAUCUGGGCAUGGCUGUGAGGGAUUUUCUCUUUUAAAAAAAUACUUUUAUUGCUGGGCAGUGGUGGCACAUGCCUUUAAUCCCAGGAGGCAGAGGCAGGUGGAUUUCUGAGUUGGAGACCAGCCCAGUAUACAGAAGGAGUUCCACGACAGCCAGAGCUACAUAGAGAAACCCUGUCUCGGAAAGAAAUUUUUAAAAUUAUGUGUAGGUGUGUGUCUUCAUGUGGGUUAUGUGUAUGUGAGUGCAGGUGCCCACAGAAACCAGAGGUGUCAAAGGAUCUGGAGUUAAAGACAGUUGCAAACUGCUUGACCUGUGGGUGCUUAGAACUAAGCACUUGUCCUCUGAAAGAGCAGCAGCAAGUGUUCGUAACUACUGAGCCAUUGCUCUAGCCCAAGGAUUUUUAUUACAUUAGCUGAAGUGGGAAGACCCACUUUGACUGUAGGUAGCACCUUCUAGCACCAGCCACAAAACAAGGGUUUGUUUGUUUGUUUUUACUUGUUUGCUUUUUUGUCUGGUCAGUGAGCUCAUCUUCCCUGUUCAUGAGUUCACUUACAUUGGUGCUGCUGUUGUCAUUGCUGCUGACAUCAGAACCCAGCUUCUUCAGCCUUUCAUCCUGAACUGAAGACCAAUGGCUCUCCAAGAAUCUUCUGGGACUUUAACACCAUAUUGGGACUACUGAGGCUCCUAGCUGAGUAGAUGGAGCAGCUAACAGUUCUCUCUUUCUCAAGUGUUAAGGCAGCCAUUGUUGAAUUACCUAAACCGUAUCCUGUAUGUCAAUCUAAUAAAUCCCCCUUUCUAUAUCCAUCCUAUUGGUUCUGUUUUUCUAUACAUACUCAAUAAAUUAAGACAUCCAGUACUUUGUUUUUA
Molecule: long non-coding RNA, 2442 nt
Organism: Peromyscus californicus insignis
Lineage: Eukaryota; Metazoa; Chordata; Mammalia; Rodentia; Cricetidae
Exons: 2
Source: RefSeq, a predicted model, not a curated record